This 1149-nucleotide ribosomal RNA is filed under the name Candidatus Phytoplasma australasiaticum. RNAcentral describes it as "bacterial SSU rRNA". It matches the Rfam family "Bacterial small subunit ribosomal RNA", at positions 195 to 1351 of the family's 1533-position model. Lineage: Bacteria; Bacillati; Mycoplasmatota; Mollicutes; Acholeplasmatales; Acholeplasmataceae. The record is from RNAcentral.
UUAAAGACCUAGUAAUAGGUAUGCUUUAGGAGGGGCUUGCGCCAUAUUAGUUAGUUGGUAGGGUAAUGGCCUACCAAGACGAUGAUGUGUAGCUGGACUGAGAGGUUGAACAGCCACAUUGGGACUGAGACACGGCCCAAACUCCUACGGGAGGCAGCAGUAGGGAAUUUUCGGCAAUGGAGGAAACUCUGACCGAGCAACGCCGCGUGAAUGACGAAGUACUUCGGUAUGUAAAGUUCUUUUAUCAAGGAAGAAAAGCAAAUGGCGAACCAUUUGUUUGCCGGUACUUGAUGAAUAAGCCCCGGCUAAUUAUGUGCCAGCAGCCGCGGUAAGACAUAAGGGGCAAGUGUUAUCCGGAAUUAUUGGGCGUAAAGGGUGCGUAGGCGGUCUAGUAAGUCAGUGGUGUAAUGGCAACGCUUAACGUUGUCCGGCUAUUGAAACUGCUAAACUUGAGUUAGAUAGAGGCGAGUGGAAUUCCAUGUGUAGCGGUAAAAUGCGUAAAUAUAUGGAGGAACACCAGAGGCGUAGGCGGCUCGCUGGGUCUUAACUGACGCUGAGGCACGAAAGCGUGGGGAGCAAACAGGAUUAGAUACCCUGGUAGUCCACGCCGUAAACGAUGAGUACUAAGUGUCGGGUUAAACCGGUACUGAAGUUAACACAUUAAGUACUCCGCCUGAGUAGUACGUACGCAAGUAUGAAACUUAAAGGAAUUGACGGGACUCCGCACAAGCGGUGGAUCAUGUUGUUUAAUUCGAAGAUACCCGAAAAACCUUACCAGGUCUUGACAUGUUUUUGCAAAAUGAUAGUAAUAUCGUGGAGGUUACCAGAAACACAGGUGGUGCAUGGUUGUCGUCAGCUCGUGUCGUGAGAUGUUAGGUUAAGUCCUAAAACGAGCGAAACCCUUAUCGUUAGUUGCCAGCACGUUAUGGUGGGGACUUUAACGAGACUGCCAAUGAUAAAUUGGAGGAAGGUGAGGAUCACGUCAAAUCAGCAUGCCCCUUAUGACCUGGGCUACAAACGUGAUACAAUGGCUGUUACAAAGGGUAGCUGAAACGCAAGUUCUUGGCCAAUCCCCAAAAACAGUCCCAGUCCGGAUUGAAGUCUGCAACUCGACUUCAUGAAGUUGGAAUCGCUAGUAAUCGCGAAUCA